Long non-coding RNA from Xyrauchen texanus (razorback sucker), 861 nucleotides. RefSeq lists it as uncharacterized. The record is from RefSeq and is a predicted model, not a curated record. Lineage: Eukaryota; Metazoa; Chordata; Actinopteri; Cypriniformes; Catostomidae. The transcript has 4 exons.
AUAACCGUUAUUAUAAACUGAAGUAGGCUACAGUACCGACAAAUUAGGCAGAAUGCAAAUACGACGCGAUGACGUCAUUAAUAUGCUAAUGACGCAUGACGUCAUCUGGCGACAUUUAGCUACUUUUCGAGCAGGCUUUAGCUACUUUCCAUUGAAAAUAGUUGGCAACACUGGACAGUUCUCAACAGCUGAGGAAUUCCACUAUUCAAUGUUCUCCGUGCUCUGCCGUCGAAUUUCUUUGCUUGGUUAAAGAUUUCGUAAUAAUUAUUUUCUUUUUUUCUAGGAAUCAUUCACUUGAUAAAUGUUUUACUGAGACAGUACCAGCCCUAAUCUUUGGGAGUGCAGACAACUGUACUGAACGCUGGAUGAUUACCCUAGAGGGUCUUGUUGUUUGUGAGGGCAUACAACCAAGAUUUGUGACUGCAAUAGCAACAAUGUUUGCUAUGUUCUAUGUCUUCAAUCUUCAGUAUCCAGAGGAGGCAUGUGGCACAUUGGAAUUCAUUCAAAGACGAUUCGUUGGGAUAAACCCUGAAAGAGGUUCGAAGACCUGCAGAAGCAAGGUGGUUUCAAAGAAUACGGGAAAACUUGUCAGCAAGAAGUCUGCCACUGUCAAUCCCAAAGUUGCUUCUCUCCUAAAGAACUCAUCGAUUUCGAAUGGGAUUUCGUCUAGACCUGGAUUUCCCCUCAGACCACAUGUCAAAAGCUGAUGUGGGACAUGUUGGCUGUUUUUCGCCUCUUCCUACGUUGGGUUCUCUUGAUUAUGUCCCAGACUUCUUCUCUGGCAUGGUUGCUGAGGUUGGCUGUUUUUGUUUGUUCGUUUGUUUUACCUCUUUGUAAGGUUUCUGUUUUUGGAUCCUCUCA